UACAGAGGUCUCAAGCGUUGUUCGGAUUCAUUGGGCGUAAAGGGUGCGUAGGCGGCGCGGUAAGUCGGGUGUGAAAUCUCGGAGCUUAACUCCGAAACUGCAUUCGAUACUGCCGUGCUUGAGGACUGGAGAGGAGACUGGAAUUUACGGUGUAGCAGUGAAAUGCGUAGAGAUCGUAAGGAAGGCCAGUGGCGAAGGCGAGUUCCUGGACAGUUACUGACGCUGAGGCACGAAGGCCAGGGGAGCAAACGGG
Molecule: ribosomal RNA, 253 nt
Filed under: uncultured bacterium
Lineage: Bacteria
Description: partial 16S ribosomal RNA
Rfam family: Bacterial small subunit ribosomal RNA
Source: RNAcentral